This is a long non-coding RNA of Arabidopsis thaliana (thale cress), 386 nucleotides long. RefSeq annotates it as other RNA. The transcript has a single exon. The record is from RefSeq. Lineage: Eukaryota; Viridiplantae; Streptophyta; Magnoliopsida; Brassicales; Brassicaceae.
CGCUCUUAGCUUGGAGGUGCUCUGAGGUUUAAUGCGGGGUGACGUGGCAACAAUUUCUUAGUUGUAUUGGGAAAUAUUAAAGCCAAAAAAUUAUUCCCGUGCAUUUUCUUCCUCCUCUCUUUCUCUCUCUCACUUCGGCAAUAACGCCGAGCCAAAGCAAAAAAAAAUUGACGCGAUUUGUAACCCACCAGUGUUUCUAAUGAGAAUCAUCUUCAUCAUGAUUUGUUAUCCGACGGUGCUUUAUAUGCGCGCUCUUCUUCCUGGGAAUCUCCAUCAUCAUCAUGGUUGUCGUCAUGGUCAACUAUUUUCACCAGAUCUCCGGUGAAAGCUUGGAAAAUCGGAGUCAAAUCGUCAGCAAUCAAUUUGUUAAGAUAAGAACGCCUCUC